UGGGCCGAGCCGGAUUUGAACCAGCGUAGACAUAUUGCCAACGAAUUUACAGUCCGCCCCCACGGGCAUCGACCC
Molecule: transfer RNA, 75 nt
Filed under: Helicanthes elasticus
Lineage: Eukaryota; Viridiplantae; Streptophyta; Magnoliopsida; Santalales; Loranthaceae
Description: tRNA-Tyr
Source: RNAcentral